Long non-coding RNA from Talpa occidentalis (Iberian mole), 495 nucleotides. RefSeq lists it as uncharacterized. The record is from RefSeq and is a predicted model, not a curated record. Lineage: Eukaryota; Metazoa; Chordata; Mammalia; Eulipotyphla; Talpidae. The transcript has 3 exons.
GUUCUCAGCAGUGGCAGAAUCACUGGAUUGGUGUAGAGAGGUGAAGAACAUGAAAGGCGUGGAGUUGUAACUUGGAGGCAGACUCUACACAUCUUGCUGAUGGAUGCAUGUGGACUGUGACAGACCUCGUGUGGCACCUGGGUUUCUGCUGGAGCAACAUCCCAGUCUCCUGGAAGAAGAAAGAACGAGCCAUCUCCUUCCUGCAGCAUGCAGAGGGGCUGGAGGACAAGCAGCCCCUGCAAGCCCAGGAGUUUACCAUCGCAUCCUGCCAACAGCUAUCUGUUUCUUUGUCCCCUGAGCCCCUGGCCCGCACCUCACUAUAAGGGGAGAAUAUGGCACUUUGACCCUACACAGUCCUAUUGUGCAGAAGCAAGUGAGUCUGGGUUGCUGGGAUGGAGUGGGUAAAAAUUUUAAACCAGAAGCUUGAGGUGUCUUUCCAGUAACUAUUCCCCAGAACUGAGCAUACACCCAACCCCAAGGAGAAAGGAAGAGGUC